AUGCCGAACUUCUGCGCUGCCCCCAACUGCACGCGGAAGAGCACGCAGUCCGACCUGGCCUUCUUCAGGUUCCCGCGGGACCCGGCUAGAUGCCAGAAGUGGGUGAAUUGUAGGAGAGCAGACUUAGAAGGUAAAACACCUGAUCAGCUAAAUAAACAUUAUCGAUUAUGUGCCAAACAUUUUGAGACUUCUAUGAUCUGUAGAACUAGUCCUUAUAGGACAGUUCUUCGAGAUAAUGCAAUACCAACAAUAUUUGAUCUUACCAGUCAUUUGAACAACCCACAUAGUAGACACAGAAAAUGAAUAAAAGAACUGAGUGAAGACGAAAUCAGGACACUGAAACAGAAAAAAAUUGAUGAAAUUUCUGAACAGGAACAAAAACAUAAACCAACAAUAGCAGUCCUCAGAAUCCCAGUGAAGAAGGGGGUGAAGGGCAAGAUGAGGACAUUUUACCUCUAACCCUUGAAGAGAAGGAAAACAAAGAAUACCUAAAAUCUCUAUUUGAAAUCUUGAUUCUUAUGGGAAAGCAAAAUAUACCUCUGGAUGGACAUGAAGCUGAUGAAAUCCCGGAAGGUCUCUUUACUUCAGAUAACUUUCAAGCACUGCUGGAGUGCCGGAUAAAUUCUGGUGAAGAGGUCCUGAGAAAACGCUUUGAAACAACAGCAGUUAACACAUUGUUUUGUUCAAAAACACAGCAGAGGCAGAUGCUAGAGAUCUGUGAGAGCUGUAUUCGAGAAGAAACUCUCAGGGAAGUGAGAGACUCACACUUCUUUUCCAUUAUCACUGAUGAUGUAGUGGACAUAGCAGGGGAAGAGCACCUACCUGUGUUGGUGAGGUUUGUUGAUGAAUCUCAUAACCUAAGAGAGGAAUUUGUAGGCUUCCUGCCUUACGAAGCUGAUGCAGAAAUUUUGGCUGUGAAAUUUCACACUAUGAUAACUGAGAAAUGGGGAUUAAAUAUGGAGUAUUGUCGUGGCCAGGCUUACAUUGUGUCUAGUGGAUUUUCUUCCAAAAUGAAAGUUGUUGCUUCUAGACUUUUAGAGUAAUAUCCCCAGGCUAUCUACACACUUUGCUCUUCCUAUGCCUUAAAUAUGUGGUUGGCAAAAUCAGUACCUGUUAUGGGAGUAUCUGUUGCAUUAGGAACAAUUGAGGAAGUUUGUUCUUUUUUCCAUCGAUCACCACAACUGCUUUUAGAACUUGACAAUGUAAUUUCUGUUCUUUUUCAGAACAGUAAAGAAAGGGGUAAAGAACUGAAGGAAAUCUGCCAUUCUCAGUGGACAGGCAGGCAUGAUGCUUUUGAAAUUUUAGUAGAACUCCUGCAAGCACUUGUUUUAUGUUUAGAUGGUAUAAAUAGUGACACAAAUAUUAGAUGGAAUAACUGUAUAGCUGGCCGAGCAUUUGUACUCUGCAGUGCAGUAACAGAUUUUGAUUUCAUUGUUACUAUUGUUGUUCUUAAAAAUGUGCUAUCUUUUACAAGAGCCUUUGGGAAAAAUCUCCAGGGGCAAACCUCAGAUGUCUUCUUUGCAGCCGGUAGCUUGACUGCAGUACUGCAUUCACUUAAUGAAGUGAUGGAAAAUACUGAAGUUUAUCAUGAAUUUUGGUUUGAGGAAGCCACAAAUUUGGCAACCAAGCUUGAUAUUCAAAUGAAACUCCCUGGGAAAUUCCGCAGAGCUCACCAGGGUAACUUGGAAUCUCAGCUAACUUCUGAGAGUUACUAUAAGGAAACCCUAAGUGUCCCAACAGUGGAGCACAUUAUUCAGGAACUUAAAGAUAUAUUCUCAGAACAGCACCUGAAAGCUCUUAAAUGCUUAUCUCUGGUACCCUCAGUCAUGGGACAACUCAAAUUCAAUACAUCAGAGGAACACCAUGCUGAUAUGUAUAGAAGUGACUUACCCAAUCCUGACACGCUCUCAGCCGAGCUUCACUGUUGGAGAAUCAAAUGGAAACACGGGGAAAGAUAUAGAGCUUCCAUCCACUAUUUAUGAAGUCCUCCACCUGCCUGACAUCAAGUUUUUUCCUAAUGUGUAUGCAUUGCUAAAGGUCCUGUGUAUUCUUCCUGUGAUGAAGGUUGAAAAUGAGCGGUAUGAAAAUGGACGAAAACGUCUUAAAGCAUAUUUGAGGAACACUUUGACAGACCAAAGGUCGAGUAACUUGGCUUUGCUUAAUAUAAAUUUUGAUAUAAAACACGACCUGGAUUUAAUGGUGGACACAUAUAUUAAACUUUAUACAAAUAAGUCAGAGCUUCCCACAGAGAAUUCAGAAACCUUGGAAAAUACCUAAGAGACUUUUAAAAAUAGAUUUUCUUAUAUUUUAUAUU
Molecule: non-coding RNA, 2314 nt
Organism: Saimiri boliviensis boliviensis (Bolivian squirrel monkey)
Lineage: Eukaryota; Metazoa; Chordata; Mammalia; Primates; Cebidae
Source: RefSeq, a predicted model, not a curated record